This is a non-coding RNA of Bemisia tabaci, 1251 nucleotides long. NCBI's taxonomy places the organism in Eukaryota, Metazoa, Arthropoda, Insecta, Hemiptera, Aleyrodidae. The record is from RefSeq and is a predicted model, not a curated record.
GGGGGGGGUGGCACCACUACCCUACGGCUCUCGUGUAAGAGAGGGUGAUGUGGGGCGCGGCAAUCGCACCUGGCUCGCUGAUUGCAUCUGACGUGCGGCCAGUUCAGCGCAUGCGGUAGGAGACAGUUGAUGCAACGGCCGUGGCCAAUGACGAACGACAGCCGAUCCGCUGGACUAAGGUCGCGAAAUCGGCUACAAUCCUCCAGUGGAUGGCCUGGCCCGCAAAGAGGGCAAGAGGGUCGUGAGUUAGGGGAUGAGAUGGGUCGCUCAGCGACAGCAGGGAGGUCAUUCCACGCCUCAAUUGGCGGGAGAGGGUCUGUUGCCGCCGCACCAGUAAAAAAAAAAAUAAUAAGAAAAUAUUAAUAGUUUAUAAUAACACUCCGCCGUCCCAAAAAAGGAGGGGCGGAAAAAAGGUGUUUCAACCUUUUCCCCAGUUUUAAUUGACGUGAUUUGAGUUGUUUUAUUCGCCAUGGUGAGCGAAAAAACUCCGAAGAGCUCUUAUGAUGAAGCCUCUGGAAAAAAGGUGUUUCAACCUUUUCCCCAGUUUUAAUUGACGUGAUUUAAGUUGUUUUAUUCGCCAUGGUGAGCGAAAACGGCUCAUGCUGAUGGAUCAUUCUUCAUCAGACUCUUCGUCAUCUCCAGGUUCGAACUUCUUUCCGCAAAUCUGAACAUGGUAUGUAGUGAAGCCAGAACUAACUGAGAGAAGAUCUGCAGCAACAGCUGCCUUUCUAUCAUCUUCAAUCUCGAUGGCCUGGGCUUUCGCAACAGCAGCUUUCAUAUAUUGUCUUAUCAGGAACUUGACGUAGGGGAAGUUGUGAAUUGUCUUCGCCAUCCCCGCUUACUUUCUCAGCCCUUUUUCAUUAUCGGCCUUGAUCAACAAUAUAAUGCACGCUCCAGCAAGGUCUUUAUAAUUAGUGGAUGCUGCGGCUCCCAGGUCUUUAUUGAACCCGUAGUAUUUGUCCUCUCCAAUAGUUUCGAACGCGAUUUUGAACUUUCCUAACUGGACGUAAUACGUGGUUGUCCUCGCCGUUUCAUCCUGAAACGAGAGUAAACCUUGACUUUAGGCAAGGUUACAAGAGGAAACUCAGGUUGCCCUUGCCAGCCGCGAGACCAAGGUCGUUAAGGUGGGGUGGUACGUAGCAAAAAACAUGAGGGGCGCGAAAGCAAACAGAGAAACGAGUGAAUUACAAAGGCGACUAAAAACACGGGCAUAUAACGAACGAGUAAACUACAAGGGCGAUUGAAAACAUG